CUGCUUUCAGAGGAGUGGCUGGUAGACUGAUGGCUCUUUUAUUAGUGAAGUUCAGAUAAGCCUGUGAUCCACUCCACGGCAACCCAAGGGAGUGGUCAAGUCACACAGAACUCAGUGUCACCCCCUGACAGUUUCCUCACCACAGUCAGAAUGGCACUUGUGACAGACACUGGAGUUUCUCUUCAAUCUAAUUGAGGUUCCAUUAACUUAACUAGGUUAACCAUAUUUGUUUUCUAUUAUGACCAACCUCCAGGCCAGAAUUUCAGUAAUUAUCAUAUACUGUUAACGUUUUUUUCACGAAUGCUUUCCGGUUGCCACUGUCUUUCAGCAAUUGGGCAAGUCUUCCAUCUGUGUGACAAAAAAAUAAUAAAAAAGGAUACAAUCAAACUGCAUCCAUUGAUUGGCAGAUACGUUCUAGCUGCUAAAUUAGCUACUGGGGUCCUCCAGAUAAGCCCCUGCAUUCUGGAGCUUGCCCUGCAGUGGGUGACAUGGACAUGUUCAACAGAACCAUGUAAUGGCUGUGGCCAUGUGCCGGUAGAUUCCAAGUGCUGCGUUAUCACCCAUGAGGAACAACUGGACAUUCGUGGAACCAUUACUGCAAGAGGAAAGGGCUAGAGUGAAUCCAAAUUUCAACUGGAGAUAGGCCAUGGAAAGAGAGAGGAAGAAAGAUAUCUUUUGCAAGAAGAAAGGUAGUGACUUGAACACAUUUGGAAAAGUGCAUUUAUUCAACAAGAUCCACCAGUGCAGGAAGAAGAGGGAGAGAGAGAUGAUGUCAGACCUGAAUGUCCCAAAUAGAAAAAUUGAAAAGGGAAACUUUGUUAUCAGCUAGAUUGACUUAAAAAAAAAUUUGGGUCCAAAUAUGGAAAACAGAUGAGUAAGGGCAAAAUGAGACACCCAGAUAAUAACUGGGAGGCUGUUAUAGUGAUCCAGUUGAAAAACAGGGAGGAUAAACUAAUUUUGGGAUGAUGGGAUGAAGAAAAUAGAAAAAAAGAAUUUACAAUACACAAGAUUCCAACAAGGAGGAUGAAGAGGAUUUAAAUGCUAAGGAUGACAUCCAGAGUACAGACUGACCCAAAUGUCUAGAUGGUGGCUCUGCUGGGCAAGCUAAAGAAAUGGUGAAGUCAACUCAGGACACGCUGACUCUGAGAGAUUCAAGGGACAAUUCAUGCAAACCGUGGGUUGGCAGGUGCACAUCUAACCUGGGGAUAAGGAUGUAAUAUAAGAUAAAGCUUCAUAAUUCAUAACGAUGAAUGAAAUUAUCAAGGUCUAAAAAACAAAUUAUAUUACCUAGGAAGAUUUGAUUGGUAGAUGCACUUAUUAUUUAUAGGUAGAUGCACUUAUUAUUCAAGCACAUACACUGCAGUGUUCAGGAAAGAAUGGCUUUAAGUAUUUUCUAUGAGACAAAUGUAUUAGUUUGCAAGAGGUUUUAGACUAGUAGUAUUUUUUUUCUAAAAACAUAACUUCAGAAAUACUUAAUUUUACUUAUUCGUUUACUAGAAUAAAUGAUAUACUAGUUAUGAGAAUGUAGCAAGAGUCAGGUAGCUCUCAAUUCCAUUCCCUGAAAGUCAGAAAAAUACAUGGAAAUAUUGGUGUUAGCUGAUUAAUUGCUUUACCGCGACCCAUGUAACAAUAGUUUGGUGUCAUUGGGUGUAAAACUGUAGACACAUAAACAGUGAAUCAUAAAGAGAACAGAAGGCAUAUUUGGGACUCAACCCAUGUGUCUGACUUUGCAUUACCUUAGAGCUUCUAAUAAAGUUUAUAUCUUUAAAUAAACCAAUUACAUAGA
Molecule: long non-coding RNA, 1786 nt
Organism: Piliocolobus tephrosceles (Ugandan red Colobus)
Lineage: Eukaryota; Metazoa; Chordata; Mammalia; Primates; Cercopithecidae
Exons: 2
Source: RefSeq, a predicted model, not a curated record